AAAGUCCUACUUAACAAACCUAAUCUCCGUUUAUGACAAGGUCACUCAUCUAGUUGACCAAGGGAGGCCAGUUGAUUGAGCAAAGCUUCAAUUAAAUU
Long non-coding RNA from Oxyura jamaicensis (ruddy duck), 98 nucleotides. RefSeq lists it as uncharacterized. The record is from RefSeq and is a predicted model, not a curated record. The transcript is spliced from 4 exons. NCBI's taxonomy places the organism in Eukaryota, Metazoa, Chordata, Aves, Anseriformes, Anatidae.